AGCAGCCGCGGUAAUUCCAGCUCCAAUAGCGUAUAUUAAAGUUGUUGCAGUUAAAAAGCUCGUAGUUGAAUUUCGGGAUCAAUAUAACGGUCAUGCCGUUGGUAUGCACUGUUAUAAUUGAUUUCUCACCUUCUGAAGAACCGUAAUGCCAUUAAUUUGGUGUCACGGGGAAUUAGGACUGUUACCUUGAAAAAAUUAGAGUGUUUAAAGCAGGCUCACGCUUGAAUACAUUAGCAUGGAAUAAUGAAAUAGGACAUCCGAUUCUAUUUUGUUGGUUUCUAGGAUCGAUGUAAUGAUUAAUAGGGAUAGUUGGGGGCAUUAGUAUUCAAUUGUCAGAGGUGAAAUUCUUGGAUUUAUUGAAGACUAACUACUGCGAAAGCAUUUGCCAAGGAUGUUUUCAUUAAUCAAGAACGAAAGUUAGGGGAUCGAAGACGAUCAGAUACCGUCGUAGUCUUAACCAUAAACUAUGCCGACUAGGGAUCGGAUGAUGUUAAUUUUUAAUGACUCAUUC
RNAcentral lists this ribosomal RNA (511 nucleotides) under uncultured Glomus. RNAcentral's name for it is "SSU rRNA". It matches the Rfam family "Eukaryotic small subunit ribosomal RNA", at positions 569 to 1081 of the family's 1831-position model. The record is from RNAcentral. Lineage: Eukaryota; Fungi; Glomeromycota; Glomeromycetes; Glomerales; Glomeraceae.